This is a non-coding RNA of Dermacentor albipictus, 624 nucleotides long. The record is from RefSeq and is a predicted model, not a curated record. NCBI's taxonomy places the organism in Eukaryota, Metazoa, Arthropoda, Arachnida, Ixodida, Ixodidae.
AACCCAAUCGGAAGAACCCAGUCAGUUCCCAGACGCCAAUCGCCGACGAACACGGAACUCCGAAGGUCACCGCUCAGGCAAAGACAAAUCGGCCAGAGCGGCAGAAAAGCGAGGCGCUUGUCGCGAGGCGCAGAAAAGCGACGAGUUGUCCUGCGGGCGCCGAAGCCCGCGAGGCAACUCCUGCCGGACAGAGGGAACAGCUACAAGGCGUCUCACAACCCUGGCGUGAGGAAGAGCGCCGCCAGCGGUGAUCGAGCACACGUGCUGAGACCUACGAGCCGCCUUCACACAGUUGGCUGCUGGACAGGAAGCUCGUCGCUUCUGGGACGACUACACCGGAAGAAACGCCCAUGCCCGGCUUCUUCAAAAGCAACGCGCGGACGGUCUACCACUUUAGUGGGCAGUGGAGCAGCGCUUAUGACAGUAUGCUUCAUAUGCAUCAUUUCUUCGCUCCUCAGGACGUGUCAAGAAUGGAACCACCUUCCCGCCGAGUUGAUUGCAAUUGAAGACCAAGCACAAUUUCGUACGGCCAUAAUCAACACCAUCGCUUCGGGCUUCACAUGUGUAUGACUACAUCACUUGCUGCCUUCUUUGCUUUCUUUGUUAUGUAACUUUUUUUUACCC